UCUUCCUAGUCCUGAAUCGGGGAUGGAUCUUUCGCACGAAGGAGGGAUUCGUCCCGCAAAUCCACCAAACGACACAAUUUGGGGGUGAAGAGGAGGUACUCUCAAACCCGACGAACCCUGCAGCAGCCGUGCACGGAUUUCUCUCCUUCUUCCCCUCCAAAUUGAAUCUCCUCAGAAAUCCCAUUCUGAAAACCGCCUCGCCGCUUCCAAAUCUCCUACGCACCGAAACCCCCUCGCUCCCCCGGCCAUCCAUCGCCGGCCUCGGUCCGCAUCCCAUUCUCCCGAUCCCUCCAAACCAGUACUCUUUACAUGGUUUCCUCCACAUGGCACCAAUGUGGCGAGUUUGGUCCAUUCGAUCGGAGGAACGAGGAGGUUCAGCGCCGAAUCGGACGGCCGGGAGUCUCUGAAUCACGCUGUGGUUAUCGUCGGGGCGGGGCCUGCGGGGCUGUCGGCGGCGGUACGCCUGAUGCUGCUGUGCCGGGAGGGGAACACCGAUCUCGAGCUUUAGUUCUUGGAGAAGGGCUCAGAAGUGGAGGCCAUUUGAUGGCUCAGAGUAUUGCAACUGCUUGCCAGUCCUCAUGUGAGACAUUCACAUCAGGGAGACACACAUGGACGGGGGAGACAGUGACAAUCUGACUGCCCAGAACUAGCCAUGCCUUUUGUAGCUAGGCCCCAAUAGAAGUUCCUGUUUCUCACGAGAAGUUUUGGUUCUUACAAGGACUUGUGCACUGUCACUUCCAUCACUUUUUGAAAUAAAGGAAACUAUGUGAUAAGGGUUCAGAACUGGGGCAUGAUAGCAGCAGGUUUAAAAAUUUGCCUAUGCCUCCUUGCAAUGCAAAGUCCAGAUGGAAAUUACUUCCUCCACUGGAAAUCAUCGAGAACUUGUUACAGCUGAGAUGCAUUUAAGAAGCUCAGUGAAACAGGCUGUGAACUUUACAGAUACUAAGGAAUUCAGGGAACUUAAAGCCUGGCUCGAUGAAAUAAAGAACCGGCUGGAUACUGCCUCUAGUGAAGGUGCUUAGUUGGGAAGGAUUUGGCUUUACACUAAUGUAAUGAAGCGUUGUACAGAUUGAAAUGUCCCCAUGAUUACGUCAACUGUAGCAGAUCUCCAUGGAAUCUGAAGCUUACUGAGUUGCAAACAAUUUAGUUACAAUCAGUCCCAGCCACUCGUGAUUUCUUCAUAACAAGGUUGAUGAUACUUCAUGGUGGUGGUGGGGGGUAGAUUUGAAUAAAAAAACUGGUCAGAUCUUGUAUCAGUUUUUCAAAUAAUGGGUUUUGAGCAUCUUAUGUACAAAAUCGUUAAAGAGGGGAAGUAUCAUUAGUUUAUUUAUUCAGGGAAAAGGUUGAGCAGAACCUAGUUGACUCAUUGAGAUAACAAAAAUGGGUGCACAGAAGGAAAGGGUAUUGUUUAUUUGUAUCCAUCUGUCAGAGCCAAUUCGGUGCAAAUAUGUCACGUCGCGAUGCGCACUAUGAACUGAAACCCAAUUCAAGAAUCUCUGUUAGUUAAAGUCCGUGAUUGGAUGCCUUUGUAUCUAAUAGAUUAAUAGAUCUCAGUUUGUAUCUACAUCA
Phoenix dactylifera (date palm) is the source of this 1569-nucleotide non-coding RNA. NCBI's taxonomy places the organism in Eukaryota, Viridiplantae, Streptophyta, Magnoliopsida, Arecales, Arecaceae. The record is from RefSeq and is a predicted model, not a curated record.